UAAAAUAAAGCUGAGAGAUCAGAUUCAUUCUGUCCCUAUCUACUAUCUAGCGAAACCACAGCCAAGGGAACGGGCUUGGAAUAAUUAGCGGGGAAAGAAGACCCUUUUGAGCUUGACUCUAAUCUGGCAGUGUAAGGAGACAUAAGAGGUGUAGCAUAAGUGGGAGAUAUUAGAUUUCGGUUUGGUAUCGACAAUGAAAUACCACUACUCUUAUUGUUUCCUUACUUACUUGAUUAAAUGGAACGUGUAUCAUUUCCUAGCCAUUAUACGGAUAUAUUUAUUAUAUCUUAUGGUAUUGGGUUUUGAUGCAAGCUUCUUGAUCAAAGUAUCACGAGUUUGUUAUAUAAUCGCAAACAAAUUCUUUAAUGAGAAAAUGCAUUUAUGUAUUUUCAAUUUGAAAAUUUGGUAUAACUCCAAUUACUCAGGUAUGAUCCAAUUCAAGGACAUUGCCAGGUAGGGAGUUUGACUGGGGCGGUACAUCUCUCAAAUAAUAACGGAGGUGUCCCAAGGCCAGCUCAGUGCGGACAGAAACCACACAUAGAGCAAAAGGGCAAAUGCUGACUUGAUCUCGGUGUUCAGUACACACAGGGACAGCAAAAGCUCGGCCUAUCGAUCCUUUUGGUUUAAAGAGUUUUUAACAAGAGGUGUCAGAAAAGUUACCAUAGGGAUAACUGGCUUGUGGCGGCCAAGCGUUCAUAGCGACGUCGCUUUUUGAUCCUUCGAUGUCGGCUCUUCCUAUCAUUGUGAAGCAAAAUUCACCAAGCGUUGGAUUGUUCACCCAUGCAAGGGAACGUGAGCUGGGUUUAGACCGUCGUGAGACAGGUUAGUUUUACCCUACUAAUGACAAAACGUUGUUGCGACAGCAUUCCUGCGUAGUACGAGAGGAACCGCAGGUACGGACCAAUGGCACAAUACUU
Molecule: non-coding RNA, 917 nt
Filed under: Drosophila persimilis
Lineage: Eukaryota; Metazoa; Arthropoda; Insecta; Diptera; Drosophilidae
Description: Eukaryotic large subunit ribosomal RNA
Rfam family: Eukaryotic large subunit ribosomal RNA
Source: Rfam by way of RNAcentral